UGAGCCCAAAUAUUCGUGCUUCACCGAUUACAGAUGCUCAGUUUUCUCCUUAUGUUGGUGGAAUGGCUUUCUCCCCCAGUUCAUCUCCAGGUUACAGUCCAUCAUCUCCAGGCUACAGUCCAUCAUCUCCGGGAUACAGUCCUACUUCUCCAGGUUAUAGCCCUACUUCUCCAGGAUACAGCCCUACAUCUCCCGGUUAUAGUCCCACUUCUCCGACCUACAGUCCUAGCUCUCCUGGAUAUAGUCCUACAAGUCCUGCUUACUCUCCGACAAGUCCAUCAUAUUCGCCAACUUCUCCCAGCUACAGCCCGACCUCUCCCAGUUAUAGCCCUACAUCUCCUACUUAUAGUCCUACUUCCCCCAGUUACAGCCCAACUUCCCCCAGUUACAGUCCUACUUCGCCAAGCUACAGCCCUACUUCUCCAGUUUACAGUCCGACUUCCCCAGCCUACAGUCCAACAUCUCCUGCCUACAGCCCAACCUCACCAUCCUAUAGUCCAACAUCACCUUCCUAUAGUCCGACAUCACCUUCAUAUAGCCCAACAUCACCUUCAUAUAGCCCGACUUCACCAUCAUACAGUCCUACCUCACCUGCCUAUAGCCCAACUUCUCCGGGAUACAGUCCAACAUCUCCUAGCUAUAGUCCUACAUCCCCAAGUUAUAGCCCCACAUCUCCAAGUUACAAUCCUGCCUCAGCAAAGUACAGUCCUUCGCUUGCUUAUUCUCCAAGCAGUCCAAGG
RNAcentral lists this long non-coding RNA (740 nucleotides) under Musa acuminata (dwarf banana). RNAcentral's name for it is "long non-coding RNA (MACU_LNC000260)". Lineage: Eukaryota; Viridiplantae; Streptophyta; Magnoliopsida; Zingiberales; Musaceae. The record is from RNAcentral.